RNAcentral lists this transfer RNA (94 nucleotides) under Armillaria gallica. RNAcentral describes it as "tRNA-Asp". Lineage: Eukaryota; Fungi; Basidiomycota; Agaricomycetes; Agaricales; Physalacriaceae. The record is from RNAcentral.
UCUCCGCUGGUAUAUCGGUUAGUACACGCGCCUGUCAUAGGCCCGAAUCUAUCUAACCUCGCGUGAAAGCUGGGUUCGACUCUCAGCCAAAGAG